GAGCACGUAGGUGGGUUUGUCGCGUCUGCUGUGAAAUCCCGAGGCUCAACCUCGGGCUUGCAGUGGGUACGGGCAGACUAGAGUGCGGUAGGGGAGAUUGGAAUUCCUGGUGUAGCGGUGGAAUGCGCAGAUAUCAGGAGGAACACCGAUGGCGAAGGCAGAUCUCUGGGCCGUAACUGACGCUGAGGAGCGAAAGGGUGGGGAGCAAACAGGCUUAGAUACCCUGGUAGUCCACCCCGUAAACGUUGGGAACUAGUUGUGGGGUCCUUUCCACGGAUUCCGUGACGCAGCUAACGCAUUAAGUUCCCCGCCUGGGGAGUACGGCCGCAAGGCUAAAACUCAAAGGAAUUGACGGGGACCCGCACAAGCGGCGGAGCAUGCGGAUUAAUUCGAUGCAACGCGAAGAACCUUACCAAGGCUUGACAUACACGAGAACGGGCCAGAAAUGGUCAACUCUUUGGACACUCGUGAACAGGUGGUGCAUGGUUGUCGUCAGCUCGUGUCGUGAGAUGUUGGGUUAAGUCCCGCAACGAGCGCAACCCUCGUUCUAUGUUGCCAGCACGUAAUGGUGGGAACUCAUGGGAUACUGCCGGGGUCAACUCGGAGGAAGGUGGGGAUGACGUCAAAUCAUCAUGCCCCUUAUGUCUUGGGCUUCACGCAUGCUACAAUGGCCGGUACAAUGGGCUGCAAUACCGAGAGGUGAAGCGAAUUA
RNAcentral lists this ribosomal RNA (712 nucleotides) under uncultured Microbacterium sp. RNAcentral's name for it is "bacterial SSU rRNA". It matches the Rfam family "Bacterial small subunit ribosomal RNA", at positions 565 to 1274 of the family's 1533-position model. Lineage: Bacteria; Bacillati; Actinomycetota; Actinomycetes; Micrococcales; Microbacteriaceae. The record is from RNAcentral.